Molecule: ribosomal RNA, 413 nt
Filed under: uncultured bacterium
Lineage: Bacteria
Description: bacterial SSU rRNA
Rfam family: Bacterial small subunit ribosomal RNA
Source: RNAcentral
GUGCCAGCCGCCGCGGUAAUACGUAGGGGGCUAGCGUUGUCCGGAAUUACUGGGCGUAAAGGGCGCGCAGGCGGUUAGAUAAGUCAUACGUGAAAGGCACUGGCUCAACUGGUGUAGGUCGUGUGAAACUGUCUAGCUUGAGUGCAGUAGAGGAAAGUGGAAUUCCUAGUGUAGCGGUGAUAUGCGUAGAUAUUAGGAGGAACACCAGUGGCGAAGGCGACUUUCUGGGCUGCAACUGACGCUGAGGCGCGAAAGCUGGGGGAGCGAACGGGAUUAGAUACCCCGGUAGUCCCAGCCGUAAACGAUGAUCACUAGGUGUAGGAGGUAUCGACCCCUUCUGUGCCGAAGCAAACGCAUUAAGUGAUCCGCCUGGGGAGUACGUCCGCAAGGAUGAAACUCAAAGGAAUUGACGG